This 451-nucleotide ribosomal RNA is filed under the name uncultured bacterium. RNAcentral describes it as "bacterial SSU rRNA". It matches the Rfam family "Bacterial small subunit ribosomal RNA", at positions 29 to 524 of the family's 1533-position model. The record is from RNAcentral.
AACGAACGCUGGCGGCAUGCCUAACACAUGCAAGUCGAACGAGACCUUCGGGUCUAGUGGCGCACGGGUGCGUAACGCGUGGGAAUCUGCCCUUGGGUUCGGAAUAACAGUUAGAAAUGACUGCUAAUACCGGAUAAUGUCUUCGGACCAAAGAUUUAUCGCCCAGGGAUGAGCCCGCGUAGGAUUAGCUAGUUGGUGAGGUAAAGGCUCACCAAGGCGACGAUCCUUAGCUGGUCUGAGAGGAUGAUCAGCCACACUGGGACUGAGACACGGCCCAGACUCCUACGGGAGGCAGCAGUGGGGAAUAUUGGACAAUGGGCGAAAGCCUGAUCCAGCAAUGCCGCGUGAGUGAUGAAGGCCUUAGGGUUGUAAAGCUCUUUUACCCGGGUAUGAUAAUGACAGUACCGGGAGAAUAAGCCCCGGCUAACUCCGUGCCAGCAGCCGCGGUAAU